UGGGGAAUAUUGCACAAUGGGGGAAACCCUGAUGCAGCGACGCCGCGUGGAGGAUGACGGCCUUCGGGUUGUAAACUCCUUUUGUCAGGGACAAUGGUGAUGGUACCUGACGAAUAAGCCACGGCUAACUCUGUGCCAGCAGCCGCGGUAAGACAGAGGUGGCGAGCGUUGUUCGGAAUUACUGGGCUUAAAGGGCGCGUAGGCGGUGGUGUAAGUCUGGGGUGGAAUGCUACAGCUCAACUGUAGAGCUGCCUUGGAAACUGCAUUACUUGAGUCGGUGAGGGGAAGGCGGAAUUCCUGGUGUAGCGGUGAAAUGCGUAGAUAUCAGGAGGAAGGUCUGUGGCGAAGGCGGCCUUCUGGCACUUGACUGACGCUGAGGCGCGAAAGCGUGGGGAGCAAA
This 400-nucleotide ribosomal RNA is filed under the name uncultured bacterium. Its description in RNAcentral is "bacterial SSU rRNA". It matches the Rfam family "Bacterial small subunit ribosomal RNA", at positions 355 to 772 of the family's 1533-position model. The record is from RNAcentral.